Molecule: unclassified non-coding RNA, 352 nt
Filed under: soil metagenome
Description: partial contains 5.8S ribosomal RNA, internal transcribed spacer 2, and large subunit ribosomal RNA
Rfam family: 5.8S ribosomal RNA (bases 1-120)
Source: RNAcentral
GAUGAAGAACGCAGCGAAAUGCGAUAAGUAAUGCGAAUUGCAGAAUUCAGUGAAUCAUCGAAUCUUUGAACGCACAUUGCGCCCGCCAGUAUUCUGGCGGGCAUGCCUGUCCGAGCGUCAUUUCAACCCUCGAACCCCUCCGGGGGGUCGGCGUUGGGGAUCGGCCCUUUCACCGGGUGCCGGCCCCUAAAUACAGUGGCGGUCUCGCCGCAGCCUCUCAUGCGCAGUAGUUUGCACACUCGCACCGGGAGCGCGGCGCGUCCACGUCCGUAAAACACCCCAACUUCUGAAAUGUUGACCUCGGAUCAGGUAGGAAUACCCGCUGAACUUAAGCAUAUCAAUAAGCGGAGGA